GCCAGCAUGGUGUAGUGGUUUGAACAUUGGACUAUGACUCUAGAGACCCGGGUUUGAAUCCCCACUCAGCCA
Molecule: non-coding RNA, 72 nt
Organism: Phrynosoma platyrhinos (Desert horned lizard)
Lineage: Eukaryota; Metazoa; Chordata; Lepidosauria; Squamata; Phrynosomatidae
Source: the annotation of a GenBank genome assembly